GAUGAACGCUGGCGGCGUGCUUAACACGUGCAAGUCGAACGGUGAAGGCGGAGCUUGCUCUGCUGGAUCAGUGGCGAACGGGUGAGUAACACGUGAGCAAUCUGCCCCUGACUCUGGGAUAAGCGCUGGAAACGGCGUCUAAUACUGGAUACGAGCUGCGAAGGCAUCUUCAGCAGCUGGAAAGAACUUCGGUCAGGGAUGAGCUCGCGGCCUAUCAGCUUGUUGGUGAGGUAACGGCUCACCAAGGCGUCGACGGGUAGCCGGCCUGAGAGGGUGACCGGCCACACUGGGACUGAGACACGGCCCAGACUCCUACGGGAGGCAGCAGUGGGGAAUAUUGCACAAUGGGCGAAAGCCUGAUGCAGCAACGCCGCGUGAGGGACGACGGCCUUCGGGUUGUAAACCUCUUUUAGCAGGGAAGAAGCGAAAGUGACGGUACCUGCAGAAAAAGCGCCGGCUAACUACGUG
RNAcentral lists this ribosomal RNA (468 nucleotides) under uncultured bacterium. Its description in RNAcentral is "partial 16S ribosomal RNA". It matches the Rfam family "Bacterial small subunit ribosomal RNA", at positions 28 to 507 of the family's 1533-position model. The record is from RNAcentral.